This 85-nucleotide transfer RNA is filed under the name Felis catus (domestic cat). It matches the Rfam family "tRNA". Rfam says of the family: Transfer RNA (tRNA) molecules are approximately 80 nucleotides in length. Their secondary structure includes four short double-helical elements and three loops (D, anti-codon, and T loops). The record is from Rfam by way of RNAcentral. Lineage: Eukaryota; Metazoa; Chordata; Mammalia; Carnivora; Felidae.
GCCUGGGUGGCUCAGUCGGUUAAGCAUCUGACUUCGGCUCAGGUCAUGAUCUCCCCGUUCACGGGUUCGAGCCCCGCGUCGGGCU